This 468-nucleotide ribosomal RNA is filed under the name uncultured bacterium. Its description in RNAcentral is "partial 16S ribosomal RNA". It matches the Rfam family "Bacterial small subunit ribosomal RNA", at positions 28 to 507 of the family's 1533-position model. The record is from RNAcentral.
GACGAACGCUGGCGGCGUGCUUAACACAUGCAAGUCGAACGGAAAGGCCCUGCUUUUGUGGGGUGCUCGAGUGGCGAACGGGUGAGUAACACGUGCGUAACCUGCCCUUGACUUUGGGAUAACUUCAGGAAACUGGGGCUAAUACCGGAUAGGAGCUCCUGCUGCAUGGUGGGGGUUGGAAAGUUUCGGCGGUUGGGGAUGGACUCGCGGCUUAUCAGCUUGUUGGUGGGGUAGUGGCUUACCAAGGCUUUGACGGGUAGCCGGCCUGAGAGGGUGACCGGCCACAUUGGGACUGAGAUACGGCCCAGUCUCGUACGGGAGGCAGCAGUGGGGAAUAUUGCACAAUGGGCGGAAGCCUGAUGCAGCAACGCCGCGUGCGGGAUGACGGCCUUCGGGUUGUAAACCGCUUUCGCCUGUGACGAAGCGUGAGUGACGGUAAUGGGUAAAGAAGCACCGGCUAACUACGUG